CCACUGCUUUCAACUCCAGAUGGCAUCCCGCUAAUUUCUGGUAUCCUGGAAGCAGACACAGUUAUAUCUUCCUCUGCAGAAGGAGUGCCCUGGCCCAACAAGAGCAGCCAAGCGUGACCCAAGAGAUGGAGGAGCACCUGACCCACCUGAGAGCAGCGAUAUGUCAGUUGGGAAGACCUCUGUUCCCCAGGCUGUUCGGUUCUCAAUUUCGGUGGAAAACUCCAUCUCCACAGUAGUUUCCUCCCCGGAAGAUGGCAGAGCUGGAAAAGAAAGAUAUGGAGGGAGUUUCCAGGAAUUCGCAUUCUCAGGUGAAGUGGCUGCAUGAGGGAUGAGCCAGAUACCAAAACAAUGACCCAUGGUGAAAAAGUAUACAAAGACUCUGAUAACGGGAGACAGGCUGAGCAGAGAAGUGGAGGCAGAGGGAAUUGGGUGAGACUUUCCCUCUGAGGGCUUAUCAAGACAAUAAAGUAAAUACAUAAUUAUGAGGAUGUGUCUCUGAGUUCCCAGAAGAAGCAACUCUUUGGUGAAUCCGGCUUAGCCCAAACUGGGACCCCGAUGUGCCCAAGCUCCCUCAUGAAACCCUGUUCCCUGAGCAGGAAAGUAUUUAUGACCUACGAGGGGUGGAAUGGUACCUCUGAA
Molecule: long non-coding RNA, 639 nt
Organism: Cygnus olor (mute swan)
Lineage: Eukaryota; Metazoa; Chordata; Aves; Anseriformes; Anatidae
Exons: 3
Source: RefSeq, a predicted model, not a curated record